Bombyx mori (domestic silkworm) is the source of this 1666-nucleotide long non-coding RNA. RefSeq lists it as uncharacterized. NCBI's taxonomy places the organism in Eukaryota, Metazoa, Arthropoda, Insecta, Lepidoptera, Bombycidae. The record is from RefSeq and is a predicted model, not a curated record. The transcript is spliced from 2 exons.
UUAAAAUAAGACAUGACUUAAAGGUUUUAGUUACCAGGUCAUAAAAUCCCUUAAAAGACAUGUCAUGUAAAUAAACAUCUACACACGUUUCAAACGACAUAGAUCAGGAGCGGAGACUUUCCAUUAGCGACGCGACUUGAUCGAGGACGCCUGUGUAAUGAAUAAAUUACACGCUGAAACACUGUUCCGUUUUCCAUUCAUUAAACGACCAGUCUUAAGAAAUAUGACAAACUAAGGUUUUGUCUAUUCAAUACCACAAUAUUGGUUACUGUUACCGCUGAUAUACAUAUACACAAUAACAUAAAAAAGCGUUGAAAUUUUUGUGACCAUGAAAAACUCAACUGUAAUAAUGAAGACGUAUUUCGGUCUCAGUUUACAUUUUACUCAGUCGGAAUUUAUGCAACAGUGUAUCUCCAACUUUUAAUCGUGAUCAAUUAUAGCUAUCACUAAAAUUUGGUACCGCGGCAGUUAGCCCACGCUGCUGCUUCUCUGACGAUUGUGUUGAGAAAAAUCAGAAUCGGAUCUUGGUUUGGUCAGUUCAGCGCAUGGAAAAUUAUUCACGAGAUCUGAAUGAAUCCUUUGAAAGAUGGCCUAAGUAUCAGGGUGUAUGGAGAAAAUGGACCCACUACUAGAGGAUCAUGUUGGAGCGCUGCGGCUGUUGUAACUUCGUUACUUUCACAAUCAGGAACUAGCCCCGUGCAGGAGCUACAUAUAGGUAAAAUACGCAGGCCAUCGACCGCACCACCACCACAUAGAGGAGGUGCGUCGUUUGUUAAGGACCCUUGUUUACGGAAGAAACCGGCUUAAUGCGAUGGCUGUCCCAAGCAGCUGGACCCAAACAGCCAAUAAGCGUGAAAGAUCCAACGACUGUCUAGAAUGAGGCUGAAGUACUCUGCUUGCAUGUUACUACCUUAAUACGGACGGGCUUAAUGUGUGGUGGACAAGGCAAUGGGACACCAUUUCACUGUGUCUACCACGAAAUUCACUUAUAGGAAGCAAACUGAAAAGUGCAACAAAGCCACGCGAUCCGCUUUCCGGCUUUUUACUGCGUUACUCCAUACGGCAUUGCCAACAUUUUUCAAAAACAUAUAGUUAAAAAUCAAACAAACUCUACGUAUGAUACGCGAGGCUAUCUUGAUGAUAAUAGUAUAUUAAGCAGAAGAUCCCGAUCUCCUCAAGCUCCUGUUAAUUAGUAUUAGUACAUCCCUCUUAUGACCGUGGUACUAGUAUCCUCAUUGCCUUUCAAUUUAACUCCCUAAUUCCAAAUCCCCUAAAUCUAUUCGGAAAAACUCGGCAUAGAGCGUCAUGCAUAUCCACAGGAAUGAAAUAACCAUCCUUUUUAUUUUUCGGUCUGACAAGAAUUCGUUAACUUUAUCAUAUUCAGCUGUAAUUAGUAUUCAGUCGUAUCAUAUUGAUUUGUUCUACAUGCAUUUGAAUAAAAAUCGAGAGACAUAAAUACAAACAAAUCUAGGGUCCAAAUUAAGAACCUGUGCUUGAAGUCGUCGCAUAGAACCAUAACUGUAAGAAUAAGACUUCAAAUUUCAACGUUCACUUUAUUUAUAUUCGCGAUUUUUUAAGCUUGACUGUUCUUAGAAUGAUGACAACGUUGAUGCUUUGAGAAGAUUUUGUUUUAUAAAUAAUAAAAUAUUAUAAUACUCUACUAAAA